This 379-nucleotide transfer-messenger RNA is filed under the name Opitutales bacterium. It matches the Rfam family "transfer-messenger RNA". From Rfam's summary of the family: Bacterial tmRNA, also known as 10Sa RNA or SsrA, is named for its dual tRNA and mRNA-like properties. Its role is to liberate the mRNA from a stalled ribosome. Lineage: Bacteria; Pseudomonadati; Verrucomicrobiota; Opitutia; Opitutales. The record is from RNAcentral.
GGGGGUGACAUGGAUUCGACUAUUGACCGUAGAUUAAUGUUGCAUGUCGAAGAUGACGGUUGGCUUCGUAAAAAGCCGUUAAAAAUCAUAAAUGACAACAAAAUUAUGAAUAUCGACUUCAGCAAUGAGGCCGAAGCAAUUGCUGCUUAAUUUAACAAGUAGCACGUCUAAUCAUCAGAUACUCGCUAUGAUGAUUGGGUGUGUAUCUAGCGAGUAGGCGAUGUAUUUAUGCGGUAGGUACAUCGAUCUCAGCAUAUCGCAAAGAGGUGAUAUCAGUUUUCUGAUGUACUGCAUCACUUCUCAUAAACAUCAGAUAAACAUGUAGAUGCAUUUUUUGAACAUUAGUAGGACGCGGGUUCAACUCCCGCCACCUCCACCA